UCACUUUAGGGUGAGCCCGCGGCGCAUUAGCUAGUUGGUGGGGUAAAGGCCUACCAAGGCAAUGAUGCGUAGCCGAGUUGAGAGACUGAUCGGCCACAUUGGGACUGAGACACGGCCCAAACUCCUACGGGAGGCAGCAGUAGGGAAUCUUCCACAAUGGACGCAAGUCUGAUGGAGCAACGCCGCGUGAGUGAAGAAGGUUUUCGGAUCGUAAAGCUCUGUUGUUGGUGAAGAAGGAUAGAGGCAGUAACUGGUCUUUAUUUGACGGUAAUCAACCAGAAAGUCACGGCUAACUACGUGCCAGCAGCCGCGGUAAUACGUAGGUGGCAAGCGUUGUCCGGAUUUAUUGGGCGUAAAGCGAGCGCAGGCGGAAUGAUAAGUCUGAUGUGAAAGCCCACGGCUCAACCGUGGAACUGCAUCGGAAACUGUCAUUCUUGAGUGCAGAAGAGGAGAGUGGAACUCCAUGUGUAGCGGUGGAAUGCGUAGAUAU
This 490-nucleotide ribosomal RNA is filed under the name uncultured bacterium. Its description in RNAcentral is "bacterial SSU rRNA". It matches the Rfam family "Bacterial small subunit ribosomal RNA", at positions 215 to 697 of the family's 1533-position model. The record is from RNAcentral.